This 424-nucleotide ribosomal RNA is filed under the name uncultured bacterium. Its description in RNAcentral is "bacterial SSU rRNA". It matches the Rfam family "Bacterial small subunit ribosomal RNA", at positions 354 to 776 of the family's 1533-position model. The record is from RNAcentral.
GUGAGGAAUAUUGGUCAAUGGCCGGGAGGCUGAACCAGCCAAGUCGCGUGAGGGAAGACGGCCCUACGGGUUGUAAACCUCUUUUGUCAGGGAGCAAGAGGCGGGUCGGGACCUGCUGUGAGAGUACCUGAAGAAAAAGCAUCGGCUAACUCCGUGCCAGCAGCCGCGGUAAUACGGAGGAUGCGAGCGUUAUCCGGAUUUAUUGGGUUUAAAGGGUGCGCAGGCGGAGGCACAAGUCAGCGGUAAAAUCGCGGGGCUCAACCCCGCUCCGCCGUUGAAACUGUGUCCCUUGAGUGCGCGAAGGGUAGGCGGAAUGCGUGGUGUAGCGGUGAAAUGCAUAGAUAUCACGCAGAACUCCGAUCGCGAAGGCAGCCUACCGGCGCGCGACUGACGCUCAUGCACGAAAGCGUGGGUAUCGAACAGG